CCUCUGCCUCCCAGGUUCAAGCGAUUCUUCUGUCUUAGCCUCCCAAAUAGCUGAGAUUACAGGCAUGUGCCAUUACGCCUGGCUAAUUUUCGUAUUUUAGGAGAGAAGGCAUUUCACCAUGUUGGCCAGUCUGGUCUUGAACUCCUGACCUCAAGUAAUUUCCCCCACCCCACCUCCCAAAGUGCUGGGAUUACAGUUGUGAGCCACUGCACCCAGCUGUCUUGUCAGUUCAUAUGAUAUGCAGCACUCUUUUUUACUAUGUGUACAGUGUCCCCUUGUAUUGUCCCCUUAUAUGAGUUCAUCUGUUGGUGAGCUUUCCAUCUCCCUUUCCCCAGCAAAAGUCCUCCACCCAGGGCAGUGCCAGGAGACAGCAUUGAGAACAGAUCAGCCUUUCAACAUCUGGAGCAGAGGGAAUAGACAUUUUAGUUGUUUUCCAUUUCUUAAUAUUAUACCUUGGUAAACAUGCAGAGACUUAGACCCUUGCACCCAUGCCUGGUAAUAAAAAUCCUAACAGUUGGGUCUUAGGCAGGAUUCUCUAGAAGCCCAGGCUGAGACAGGGACUUGGGUGUGAGUGAUUUGCUGAGGGACUGUUCUCAGGAGGAAGAGCGGGAGGGAAACGGGAUGAGGAAGGGGCCAAGCAAAGAGGUCCCAAAGUCUAGCUGUGGCCUGAUAGGAGCAUCAUCACACUAGCAGAGAUGUCCUUUUUGGGACAAAGCAAUGGGGCUUUUGUACUGUCAAUCAUUAAUCUUGUAAUCCCAGGCCUCUUGGGACCUUCAGCUAAAAGGAUUUCUGUAGUAGGUGGUGGUUGUGAGCUGUUAGCCCAGCUUUCAGGGCAGCCGGCAGUGGAGGCAGCCUCUAGCACAGAGGAUGGGGUAUCGCUGCAAGUGCUCAUAACCUGUGGUCCUGUCUUUAGGCCUGGUGCUAUGCUAAGUACAUAAAUGCAGUUCUAACAGUCCUAUGAUUUAGAGGCUUUUUUUUUAUCUCCACUUCACAGGUGAUAAAGAUAAGUAACUUUCCCAGGGUCCCCCAGCUAGCAAGGGGUGGGUGGGAUUGUAAGACACACUCAGGUCUGUCCAGUACUAAAGCUCGAGUCCUUACAUUGGCAGGCCGUAAGAAUGUAAAGUUUAAUUCCUAGAAGCUGAAUUGGUGGACCAGGGAGAGAUCCAUAUUUAUCCAAGUUUCUCUCCCUACCCCUUCCCCAAGUUAUGUCAACUUAGAUGUCCUGUGUUGUUAUAUUUGACCAUUCUCCUGUCAUCUCUGGGUGUUGGCAGUCUUUUAAGUAUCUGCUAAUCGAACAAAUAGAGAUUUUUUGGGCUUGAUUUUCCUUAUUUUUGCAAUUGCUGAGGUAGACACCCUUGCCCAUGUGGAUUGGCCACCUGUAUUCUUCUCUUAAGGCCCAGUUUUUAGUCCAAUGGCCUUGGCUCUUUUUUUUUUUUUUUUUUGAGACCAAGUCUCACUCUGUCCCCCAGGCUGGAGUGCAGUAAUGCACUCCACUGCAACCUCCACCUCCCAGAUUCAAGCGAUUCUCGUUCCUCAGCCUCCCGAAUAGCUGGGAUUACAGGCGCCUGCCAUCAUACCCAGCUAACUUUUGUAUUUUUAGUAGAGAUGGGGUUUUACCAUGUUGGCCAAGCUGCUCUCUAACUUCUGACCUCAAAUGAUCCGCCUGUCUUAGCCUCCCCAAGUGCUGGCAUUACAGGCGUAAGCCACCGUGCUCGGCUGGCCCUCAUGCACUUUUGAUGGUUCUUUGCAUCCGGGUUUAAAUUGUCCAAAUCUCUUCUGUGGACUUGAAUGCUGCAUUUAUAGUACACUUGUUUUGCACCAGUGCUUUGAUCUAUUUCUAGACUUUCACUGAGUUAGCUGUCUAGUUUUAUGCUAGGAUCCUAUCUUUUUAAUUACCAUACACCUUACCAAUUAAAACAUUUUUUUGUUGUUGUUGUUUUUGAGAAGGAGUCUCACCCUGUUGCUCAGGCUGGAGUGCAAUGACGUGAUCUUGGCUCACUGCAACCUCCACCUCCCAGGUUCAAGUGAUUCUCCUGCCUCAGCGUCCAGAGUAGCUGGGAUUACAGGCACUUGCUACCAUACCUGGCUAAUUUUUUGUAUUUUUAGUAGAGGUGGGAUUUCACCACAUUGGCCAGGCUGGUCUCAAACUCCUGACCUCGUGAUCCACCCACCUCAGCCUCCCAAAGUGCUGGGAUUAUAGGCGUGCGCCACUGCACCCAGCUCCAUACACCUUAUUUUUUAAAAGAUAUAAAGUAUUUUCAAAGAUAUCCUUUAAAAGAUAUAUGGAUUUUUCUAUUCUUUCCUUUUUUUUAAAAAAAGAUGGAGUUUCGCUCUUGUUGCCCAGGCUGGAGUGCAGUGGUACAAUCUUGGCUUGCUGCAACCUCUACUACCCAGGUUCAGAUGAUUCUCCAGCCUCAGCCUCCUAAGUAGAUGGGAUUACAGGCAUGCACCAACACACCCAACUACUUUUGUAGUUUUAAUAGAGAUGGGGUUUAUUCCUAUUGAUCAGGCUGGUCUCGAACUCCUGACUACAGGUGAUCCACCUGCCUUGGCUUCCCAAAGUGCUGGGAUUAUAGCCAUGAGCCACCAUGCCUGGCUAUAAGAUACAAGGAUAUUUUUCAUGUCAACUAGAUGCUAACUACAGGGUUGCCAAGCGUAGAAUACCGAUAGGCCAUCCUGCCCCAAAUAAGACUAGGUAAGGCUCUUUUAUUGGCAGUUAGUGACGGUGUGUAUGCCCAAUGCCAGCAGGUACUUUUCUUAAGCAGAAUCUCUGUUUCUGUUUCUGUCUUCAUCCUUGUCUAUAAUAAUUCCAUUUGCUUGGCAGACCCUUUCCUUAAAGGCAGUGGGAGAGGUAACCUUGAGCUUUGUCUCCAGUUGGAAUUCAUCAUCAGUGGAUUAGCUAGUAGUUGUCUUUGCAGCUGAGAGAAAGUUGACUCAAAGUGGCUUUCGUGCACAUGAACAUCAGUUAGCUUUAUCCAAGUGGAAAGUCCAGGAAUAGGUCUAACUUCAGACAGUCAUGAAGCCAUAACUUCAUGGCUCUAAGUCAGCAGAGCCAGUCUUUCUAUCCUUCAGAAUCUCUUCUCUGUUGGCCUGGUUCUCAGGCACACUGUCACCUCAUAGAGGCAGGAUGGCUAACCCAUCCCGUAUGAAUUCAAAUCCAGUGGAAAAAGAGAUCUCCUCCCACAAAAUUCAGACCUGCCUGCUGUUGACCUAAAAACAUAUCCCCCUUCACCUAAGCUGUUAAUUGUAGCAGAGGACAGUGUAUGUUUUUUGACUUGUGGUCUUAUGCUUGCCCUGCAUUAGGGUGCUGGCACCCAGGGGAAGUCAUAGAACUGUUGCUGGAGGAAUGGGUGCUCACUGGCCAGGAGCCUCAGUCACUGCCCCCACCCCCACAUGGGUAGGAUGGCACUUAGCGACAUUUUAUUUUGACACUGGGGAGAGUUCAAACUGUCAGGCUUAGAUACAAAAUUGUUUUUAGAGAUCUGGGCUUACCCAGUUCUGGUGACUUAAGGAAGCCGAAAUUCCUCUUUUAGGUAGGUCUGUGACUGUGGACUGAGAGGCCCAGGAAGCCAAGGCCAUCGGUCACUCUUGGCAGAGCUUAGUUGGGUUUUCAUUACUAAGUGAGAUUCUUUUUAAUGAGUGAGGUGAGGUUUAACCCUGCCAUUUUCAGUAAUAAACCAGAAAAUGUUCCGCUGCACUUCUGUGGGAUUCCGCUGUAGAGGCUGGGCCUCUGCUGGCUGUGGAAGGGUUAAACCGCACACCUGGAGGGCAGAGAGCAGACUCCAGAGACCCUCCCUUGGCUAAAGAUCUCUCCUCAGCCUCUGCUUUGGUUUUGCUGUUACUCCAGUGGUUAGCUACACCCAGAGAAUGCAGGCUUUAGAUGCCUCUUCUUUGCUUAAAGCAUAGACUUUCCUGUGAAAUCCGCGCCCCCCCCCCCGUUUCUUGUUUAUAAAUUUUUAAUUCUAAUACCAGGAGGCCACCCGUGUCAUGGAAACAGCAGUGACCUGGUUUCCAGGUGCCCCUCUGCGCCUGCCCAGUGUGUAACUGUGGGUGAGUCCCAGAACACCCGCCCCCCCCACCCCGAUCCCGAUCUCUCUGUUCCGAUGGGUAAAGAGAAGCAGUGGCACGUGAGGACUCAUGGAGGCAUAGAAAUGGGGUCCUAGGAUAUUAAUCCAAAGUGGCCGCAGGGCACACUGCAUCCAGCUGUCACACUUAACAGAGGAGAGGCCUUAGAGACUUUGAAUGGCCUGUAAGGGUUGAAGGGAGACCCUCAAACCUGGUGUAUCAUGGUUUGGAUUUCUGAAUAUAAGGAGCAUUUAAACUACCACAAGAAGAAACAAAAAACAAAACAAAGACAGUUUCGUAGUCGUCAAGGAAAUCCCGUACCUAGGCCAGGGACCACCGUGGGAACUAGUGCCUGGAACCGGAGAGCCCCCCAGCAUGCAAGAGCUCUCCCAGGGGCUUCAGAUACCUGCUCCUCUGUCCUCUGCGUCCUCCUCUGUCUGUGCUCCUUGAGCCUCUGCAGGAGCUAGGCUCCCCUGCUGCGCUUCCAGGUCCUUCACUGCCUCCUUACGUUUGUUCAUGGUGCGUUAAAUCUGCUCAGGCUACAGCCGCCUUCUGGCCUCCUAGUAGCUUCUCCUUUCCCUACCUCCUCCUUAAAGAGUCUAUUCUUUGCUGGGCACAGUGGCUCACACCUGUAAGCCCAACACUUUGGGAGGCCGAGGCGGGUGGAUCACCAGGUUAGGAGUUUGAGACCAGCCUGGCCAACAUGAUAAAACCCUGUCUCUGCUAAAAAUACAAAAAUAAAAUAAAAUUAGCCGGGUGUGCUGAGGGGUACUUGUAAUCCCAGCUACUUGGGAGGCUGAGGAAGGAGAAUCGCUUGAACCAGCAGGUGGAGAUUGCAGUGAGCCAAGAUCGCAUCACUGCACUCCAGCCUGGGCAAAAGAGUGAAACUUCGUCUCAAAAAAAAAAAAAAAAAAAAGAGUCUAUUCGUUUAAUUCUAGUCUAGUCUUGGGGACUCUGAAUGACUCAGCUUCUCCUUUUGAGCCAGGCCAAGUAGGCCAUAGGUUACUUGAACUCUUGUGUCCAGUUCUAGGGCCAGAUUCCACUUCUUCCCAGUUGUCCUUGACCACAGAUGGGGGCUCAGGUGUUAUAAGGACAGUGUGGGCCUGAAGCUCCCAAAGACCUGUGAGUUCACCGGCAAGUGAACUUCAUUCACAGAAUAGCACUUUCACCAGGUACAGCCUGAAGACACGGGGGUUAUUUUCAGAGUAGACUAGGGGCCCAGAGUGGCAGUAGCAAGGUGUGCCUCUGCACAGAAUGGUGCAGGAAUCCCCAACAAAUUCCAGAAAAUUCCAGCUCAUUUUAGGAGUGCUAAUUCUAUCCUGUAGGAUUAAGGGCAGGAAUAUACAACUUUGAAAUUUUUCUUUACUUUUUUGUUUUGUUUGUUUUGAGACAGGGUCUCACUCUGUCACCCAGGCUGGAGUGCAGUGGUACGAUCUCGGCUCACUGCAGCCUCGCCUCCCAGGUUCAAGUGAUUCUCAUGCUUCAGCCUCCAGAGUAGCUGGGAUUACAGGCGUUGCCACCGUGCCUGGCUAUUUUUUGUAUUUUUGGUAGAGACAGGGUUUCAUCAUGUUAGGCUGUUCUCGAAUUCCUGACCCCAGAUAAUCCGCCCACCUUGGUCUCCCAAAAUGCCAGGAUUACAGGUGUGAGCUACCGCGCCCAGCCUAAUUUUGAUGUAAUUUUUAUGCUCUUCUAAAAAUGCAUAUACUGACAAAACUUGAAGCUCUUCCUUCUCCUUUUUAUGUCAGUGCAGAGUGUACAAAAGUUCCCUAUAUCGGGCACACAUUUAAAUUUUGGCUAACAGAUACUACUUUAGGAUUUACUUAGGAGUGAUUCUGAAAGGUUGAAAAUGAUACUUUUUCUAAGCUUUGGUUGAGGUUGGGAUUGGGAAGGAUGGUUCCUCUCACCAGGGUUAUGCAAAAACUAUGGGUUGUAAUAUGAUGCAAAACACAUGUCCACCAAGAAUAAGCAGAGAUGCAGGCGGCCAGUGAGCUUUAAGAAAUACUGUGGGUUGGUAAAUGGAGAGCCCAAGGGAGAAUGUAGCAAAAGCAAAGGGACCUUUGGUGUUUCUGACUUUCGAGAGAGCAUGUCCAAAUUUUCAUCUGCAUCAGCACUUUUCUAACAAAGUUCCAGGCUCUCCAGCAUUAUCUGGUGGGCGGCCUUAUUUACACAUAAAAUAUAAUUGAUUCCAUAUUCCUCUCAGACCUACAAACAGUACCAGUGUUUGUUUUUAAUAACCAGAAUUAUUUCAGCUUAAAAAAAGGUGUAGAUUUACAUAGACAGUCUGAUGAGUGCCUCAGAUUGUUCCAUUAAUAACACAGAGGAGAAACAAUCUAAGAAAAACAUUUUGAGUUUGUGUGCGGAGAUGGAGAGAGGGUUGGGUUAGUGAAAUCAGAAAGCUUCCAAGUUAUGAUUAUUAAAUUUAAUAAUUACAUUAGCAUUCCACAGGAACUGUUUUCUGGAAAUUUUGGUAAUGCAGCCACUGAAUAAAACACACUCAGGCAACCUAGGCUUCAGGCCAUUGGGUGGGAAAUGGCUUAUUUGCUUUGUUUUGAUCAUGUUUAAAGUUAAUCCCAAAUCAAUUUCUUUUUCAAGAACUAGAAUGUCACCAGUCUGUCUUCCACUUAAGGCUUCUGCAAACUUUUUCUAUAAAGGGUCAUAUAGUAACUAUUUAGCACAAAGUAGACAUAUACAUAAACAAAUCAGUGUGCUGUGUCCCAAUAAAAUUUUAUUUAUGGCACUGAAGUUUGAAUUUCAUAUAAUUUUCACUUGUCAGGAAAUACUAUUCUUCUUUGAAUGCUUUCUCCCCCCAACCAUUACAAAAUGCAAAAGCCAUACUCAGCUUCCAGCGAGUACAGUUUGGUUCAUCAUUUGCUAACCCUGUUCUAGUUUUGACUUUGUCUUUGUAGUUAGAAUUUUUUCUUUUGGGGAGAAAACUCUACUUUGCAUAUGAAAGAGAACCAAAAUAUGUAUGACUGUGUCUGUGUGUAUCUCUGUGUGUGUCUAUGUGUGUAUAUGUGUGUGUGUGUGUAUGUCUGUGUGUGAGUGGGUGUGUGUCUCUGUGUGUGUGUCUGUGUGUGUUGAGCUUUUCUGUUUCUUCAGCUCCUCUCAGGGAUGAAGCAGGGUCUCUAGACAUUAGAACUACGGUUGUUUGAGAUUUUGCCACCAACAGUUUAGUGCUGCUGGCAAGAAGGCUAGCCUCGGGAGCUACAAAACUCUCUCCACACAGGGAGUUCUGAGGGACUCUUGAAACAGAAGGAAUGAGAAUGCAGACAAAGGCAGAAACUUGAGAGGAAAGCUGCUGAGCAUUAUAUGCACAUAUCUCUGUAAGGGCUGUGGAACUGGUGGUGGUGUCCUCAUCAUUUCUUUGCAAAUGUGUAUGUAUUUUAAAAGGCUUAGGUCUCUCAGCUGCUUCUUUUUUUUUUUUUGAGAUGGAGUCUCCCUAUGUCUCCAGGCUGGAGUGCAGUGGGGUGAUCUAGGCUCACUGCAACCUCUGCCUCCUGGAUUCAAGCGAUUCUCCUGCCUCAGCCUCCUGAGUAGCUGGGACUAUAGGCACACCUCACCACACCCAGCAAAUUUUUGUAUUUUUAGUAGAAAUGGGGUUUCACCACAUUGGCCAGGAUGGUCUUGAACUCCUGACCUUGUGAUCUGCCUGCCUUGGCCUCCCAAAGUGCUGGGAUUAUAGUCAUGAGCCAUUGUGCCCGGCCUUAUCCUUACUCUUAGAGAAGUAGGCAAAAGACAUGCUUCUACAAAUUAUAAACACCUGGUUUUGUUUAGUAUCCUCUUGAGGGAAAUUAGGAAAGUGGCAGAAACAAUACACUGCAGACAUAUGCAUUGUGUUUAGUUACAUUCGUUUAGUAAGAAUCAUUCUUAUUAGGACACCUCCCAAAUCCUUCAUACAUAUCAAGCUUUUAAAUAUUUGUCCCCUUAGGUUGGGCACAGUGGCUGAUGCCUGUAAUCCCAGCCCUUUGGAAGUCCAAGGCGGGUGGAUCACAAGGUCAGGAGUUCAAGACCAGCCUGGCCCACAUAGUGAAACCCUGUCUCUACUAAAAAUACAAAAAAAUUUAGCCAGAUAUGGUGGUACAUGCCUGUAAUCCCAGCUACUUGAGAGGCUGAGACAGGAGAAUCACUUGAACCCGGGAGGUAGAGGUUACAGUGAGCCAAGAUCAUGUCACUGCACUCCAGCCUGGGCAACAGAGCAAGAUUCUGUCUCAGAAAAAAAUUUUUUUUAAUUUAAAAUAAAUUCAAAAAAAUUUGACCCCUUUUGUAAUUAGCGUAGAUUUAGCAGUGGCUUUUCCUGAUUUGGGAGGAAGCAUGCUUGAUGGUUGCCUGGUAACAGCUAAUCAUGGGAUUGGGGCCAACAAAUAGUUGGCAGAAACCGUCAAUUCUUUUGUCUUGUUAACAAAAAGUGAUCGGUAAAGAUACAGCCUCUGAAGUCUAUUCUGUUGUUCAGACAUAUAACUUAAGUGAUAAAUUCCCAUGCUCAUAUAACUUCAAUGUGCUGCUGAAAUUUAUAGCUUGUUUAGAUGAACCUGCUUACUUGGUACUUGGGUCACAUGUCAUCUGCUUACGCUACUGAGGCUCAUUGGGUAGGACAGUGAUGUCACAGAGGCUUCGUUUUCUCAAGGGCUCUUAAGAAUCUCAAAUUUUUGUUGAAUGAUGUUGAUGAAAUGUACAUGAAGCUCCAGCAUAAAUGUCCGAAGUCAGAGGUUUCUGGUUCUUAAGCAGGAGCCACAAGUUCACCAUCGAUGACCUCAGUUCCCAUCUCCCAGUGGCCCUCAGUGGGGACAGACAACAGCACCCAGCCUGUGUGAUCAGUCCUGCUGCAGGCCAGCCUCUCCUCUUGUCCCCUCCAGAUCAGCUGGGGCUCAGUGUAAGUUUUCUAGGACAACUUCAUAAAAUGAAUUCUCAUUUCAUAAGCAAAUACAGUGUGAGUCAUGCUUUGGCCACAUAGAAUUAAGAAGGAAGAAAAAACACUAUUUAUUUGGUUGGUGCUUUUUUUUUUUUUUUUUUUAAAGUAACUACAGUGUAUUCCGUAUUUGUUCCCAGAUAAUUGUCAGCUUUCCCUCCUCUGGUUAUAUGUUUUUAAAGGAUGUUGUCUAUUAGGGGUCAGGGUCACCCACUCUACCAGGCACUUUGGUGUGUAUUUUCUCUCUUAACUCCCAGCUCUGUGCAGAACGUUUGGGAGACACCAGUGCUAAAGCCAAGUCUUACGGGGGCCAGACGGGGAGGAACCGGGUUGAACGCCUAUUUUUUUCUGGGUUUUAAGCCCAUACUCUGCUUUAUCCUUGGUUUUGGGCCCAGUUUUCAGAACACAUCCAGAUCAUCCAUUUGCCCAGCAAACCAACAUAAGGUGUCAGAUGAGUGGCCAAGAUGUUCAAUGUAUUUCAUCCUUUGUUUCCUUGAUUUCUACAAAACCAGCCCUUAGAUAUUUUUAAUAGGAUUUUUAAAAAGCACCCCUUGUUGUGUAAGUUCUCCUCUCUGUGAUCUUUGUCACCUCUCCUGCCCACACCUCCAGCAUAGUCAGAAAUCUCACGUCUCAGCAAGUGUCUCUCUCCUGCCUUCAUUGAAGUUCUGCUCACUGUCACUUUCCCCUUCAAACUGGACAUUGUGGAUUUUCCCUGCUAACCUCAUCACCCUUCCCUGGGCUCCAGCUCAGCAUAAGGAAAUGUUGUCAGCAGAGGCUGCAAACCCAAGCCUGUCCCUUUUCAGUCGUAUUUUUACUACGAGCUGAACUACUUCAGCGUCAUGUAAACACACUGGAGUAUGUUAACAGCUGCCUCUCUUUUAAAGUUGAACCAGUUCAGAACUAAAAGGGGAACUGCUUUCAGGUUCUGUUCAAGUUUGCAUGUGACAGCAUCAAAGCUAUUUUUAGCAGAGUGAUCACCGGCAAGAAGCUGGAAACGGCUGCUUUCAACUAUCAACAGUGGAAAGAAAGGAUCAUUUGUGCACUGCUGCAGCUCUUGAGUCCAUUUACAUGGGAGACACAGGGGUGUGUAAAUCUCUCCUUCAAAGUUAUAAGGCGUCUUAUCCCUGUUCAGACCCCCAUCACCUUGCAGAGACAGGGUAGUGUUCAUUUAGUGCUUGGUUGCCUGGGCCCCAAGUUAAAGUAGAUACACGGAUGUUGGUGAAUUACAGGACUGUCCUAAGUGUCUGUUCUGAAAAAAAGGUGAUGUAUAGAUGCUCAGAAACAUCCACUAAAUUUUUGAAGUGUUUCUAUUGUUUCUUCAGUUUUCCUUUUCUUUCCUGUAGGUCACCAAACUCAAGAGACAGCAGGAAGUGGGAGGUGGUUAUGUAAGCAUCAUGGCAAUGAAGAGAGCAUGAGUCACUUACUAGCCAUGCGCCCCUCAUUAAGCGACUUUGCCUCAUUAAGCGACUUUGCCUUUCUGAAUUAAGUGUUCUUAGCUGCAAAAUGAGGAUCACAGUGCCAGCCCUAUAUACUUGAUAGGGCUAGGUUUUUUUAGCAGCUGUUUGUUGAACACCUACUCCAUGCUACUGGGGAUAUCAGCUGAAUCAGAUAGUCAGUGUCUUCAGAGAACUCACAGUCCAGCUCCAUAAAUAAAUAACUUACAAUACUGCAGGUUGCGUGGAAAGGAGACUGCCUAAGACAUAGGAUCUGCUCUGGGCAUGGAGGGAGACAGGAAGAAGACAGGAGGAGCAGUAUUUUCAAGACCGCGUUAAGAGUUUGCAAAAAAAGACAAGGGAGAGAGGGACAUUCCGAGCUGGAGCAACUGAGUGAGCAGUGACAGAGGUCAGAGGUGUUCUGGUGUCUCCAGGGGACCAUGAGCAACUUGGUAUUGUCAGAGCAGAAAAACUACAAGACGGGAUGGCAGGAGAAGCUGGAGCAAGUGAAGCCAAUUGUGCUAAAGAACAUGGAAGAGGGCUGGGUGUGUUGGCUUAUACCUGUAAUCCCAGCACUUUGGGAAGCCGAGGCGGGUGGAUCAUGAACUAAGGAGUUCAAAACCACCCUGGCCAAUAUGGUGAAACCACCCCAUCACUACUAAAAAUAUAAAAAAUUAGCUGGGCAUGGUGGCACGCACCUAUAGUCCCAGCUACUCAGGGGGCUGAGGCAGAAGAAUCACUUGAACCUGGGAGGCGGAGGUUGUAGUGAGCCGAGAUCCAGUCACUGCAUUCCAGCCUGGGCAACAGAGCGAGAUUUCAUCUAAAACAAAACAAAAUAAAACAAAACAAAAAAACCACAGAAGUGGCACAGGUCACAGGGGGCCAGGAGUCAUUUUGAGCACAUGAUUACCUGGAUCAUACACAAAUUAAAGUGGAGUCAUUGCUAGCAAAAGUCCCUGCGUAUGUUUAUAUGAAGUAUAUAACAGGUAGCAGUUUAGUGCCAGCAAAGCAUGCCCUACACAUAAAGUGUCCUCCAGGAAAGGCUAAGCUGGAGAGCAGUUUUGAAACUUGGUGGCCUGUGACUCCUUUGAACAUUGCCUUUGAAGAGGCUGGAGGGGGACAGGGAAGGGCAGAUGAAAGGUAGAGAAGUAGCAUACCGUCUCAGACCCUGUUGGUACUGGGCUCUGCAAGUGGCUUUGUAGGAUAAGUCACAUCCUUCAGGAGCUUUCAGGCCAGGUAGGAUUGAUGAGGAAGGUGCACGCCUUGGCAGCGGUGUGUGGCCUGUGUGUGGUCAGGGGACUUGCACAGGUGAGCCUCAUGACCCAGCACCAAGAAUCACAGUCCGUGCAUGUAAGUCAGUUUCCUCCAAAGGUUUCAGGAGACUAAGGUUUUUCGGGUGAUGUUUAAAGCUGCAAUUAUGUGGUCAUUCUUACAUGCCAUGGGAAUUCAAAGAAGAGGCAAGCACAGAACAAAGUAAACCACAGCAAAACCCUCUCUGACAAUCCUCCUUAACCGUUUAUACCCAGGAAGAAAGGCGCUGAGAAGGACAGUGUGUGCCACAUUUUGCAAAGCUCUGUGGACACACCCUCAUAGUUACAUAAAUAUGGCCAAGAAAUGACAAUACUUUUUUGAAACUAUAUUCCCUCUGAGUUUAAUGCUUUCAUUAAAGUUUAGAAAUAUUAUUUGCCUCACUUCACUUCAAGGAGAGGAAUGGAUGUUCCUGUAGUUUUCUCGAAGAAUCAGAUGGGUAUAAGGUGCUAGGUGUGUAAGAAUCAGUCUCUUAGGCCCAGCUAUGUCAUGGUGGAAGAGAACCAAUGCACUUGGCCUUCCCAUCUGUUUUCUUUUUAGUUUUCCUGAGCUACACUGUGUGGGGAGGGACUGAGAGAGGGACACAUGUGACAGUUUGAGAACAGCAAGAGUCACAAGCAAGCAAAAGCUUGGUAUGGGUGGUGAGGGAGGUGGCCAGAGGUCACCUGGAAAGGAGGGAGUAGUAGAUAGGGCACAUUCGAGGUUGGGCGGGGCCUUUAUGCUCAGUGAGAAGCAUAAGGAGGAAGACAUUGUUCGGUUGCUCAUGCCCAUCACAGUUCUUUGUUGCCUUGGGAGACAGAAGAGAUGACUUUUUGGAAUUUUUUUUUUUUUUUGAGAUGGAGUCUCACUCUGUCACCCAGGCUGGAGUGCAAUGGCACGAUCUCGGCUCACUGCAACCUCUGUUGUCCAGGUUCAAGCGAUUCUCCUGCCUCAGCCUCUUGAGUAGCUGGGAUUACAGGUGCCUGCCACUGCGCCCAGCUAAUUUUUGUAUUUUUAGUAGAGAUGGGGUUUCACCAUUUUGGCCAGACUGGUCUUGAACUCCUGACCUUGUGAUCCACGUACCUCAGCCUCCCAGAGUGCUGGGAUUACAGGCGUAAACAACCGCAUUCAGCCAGAUUUUUUUUUUUCAGAUGAAGUCUCUCUCUGUUGCCCUGGCUGGACUGCAGUAGCGUGAUCUCAGCUCACUGAAACCUCUGCCUCCCAGGUUCAAGUGAUUCUUCCGCCUCAGCGUUCCAAGUUGCUGGGACUACAGGUGCACGCCACCACACCCAGCUAAUUUUGUUUUGCAGUUUUAAUAGAGACAGGGUUUCACCAUGUUGGUCAGGUUAGUCUCUCUUGACCUCAUGAUCUGCUCACCUUGGCCUCCCAAAGUGCUGAGAUUACAUGAGAUUACAUGUACCACUGUGCCCGGCCCAGAUUUGUCUUUUAAAGAUGGGUAUCACUCUGUCAUCCAGGGUGGAGGGCAGUGGCAUGAUCCUGGCUCAUGGCAGCCUCAAGCUCCUGCGCUCAAGUGAUCUUCCCAUUUCAGCCUCCUGAGUAGCUGGGACUGCAGGUACAUGCUAUGAUGCCUGGCUAUUUUUUUUCUUUUUCUUUUAUUUAUUUAUUUGUUUUUGGUAGAGAUGGGAUCUUCCUGUGUUACCCAAGCUGGUCUCACACUCCUGGGCUCAAGCAAUCUUCCUGCCUCAGUCUUCCCAAAUGUUAGUAUUAUAGGUGUGUCUUACCUUUUGGAAAUUUAAAAUCACUUUUUGUCACUUUGAAGCAAAACAUAAGUAGAUUUAAUAAAUCAUAGGAAAAAUGUUUCAUAAAAAAUAAACAUCUGGCAGGGCGAGGUGGCUCAUGCCUGUAAUCCCAGCACUUUGGGAGGCUGUGGUGGGCAGAUCGCAAGGUCAGGAGUUCAAGACCAGCCUGAUCAAUAUUGUGAAACCCUGGCUCUACUAAAAAUACAAAAAUUAAUUGGGUGUGGUGGCGGAUGCCUGUAAUCCCAGCUAUUCGGGAGGCUGAGGCAGGAGAAUUACUUGAACCUGGCAGGUGGAGGUUAUGGUAAGUCAAGAUGGUGCCACUGCACUCCAGCCUGGUGACAGAGAGAGACUGUCUUAAAAUAAAUAAAUAAUAAACAAACAUCUGAGGCCGGGCACAGUGGCUUACACCUAUAAUCCUAGCACUUUGGGAGGCCAAGGUAGGCAGAUCACUUGAGGUCAAGAGUGAUCUACACUCUUGAGGUCUACAAAAAAACUACAAAAAAUUAGCCAGGCCUGGUGGUGGUCACCUGUAAUCCCAGGUACCUGGAAGACUGAGGCAGGAGAAUUGCUUGAACCCUAGAGGCGGAGGUUGCAGCAAGCUGAGAUCAUGCCAUUGCACUCCAGCCCGAGCAACAGAGCUAGACUCCGUCUCAAAUAAAUAAGUAAGUGAAUAAAUAAAUAAACAUCUGCACUAUCACAUGCAACUUCAGCAUUUGAGUGCCUGGAUUUGGUCUUCCUGAUACAGCAUUUAGAUUGAGGUGUCCCUUCUAUGUCAUCAGCUUUCCAAAAUCAGUGUUAAUGUCUCUCAUCUUUGUGGUGGGCUGUGGGAUGGGACUAGCUCUCAAAGGGAGGAAAUGAAUAAUCAAGGGAAAUCACAGUUUUUCCACAAAUAGGUUAUUUUCUUGUCUGUGACUGGUUUUCAGCAUCGUAGGAAGUACCAGGAACCAGACUGUCAAAAACUUGGAUAAAAAUACUUAACAUUUCUUGGUCGGGCACAGUGGCACAGGGUAGAGGUUGCAGUGAACCAGGAUCAUGCCACUGCACUCCAGCCUGGGUGACAGAGCGAGACUCCAUUUCAAAAAAAAAAAUUAUAUUUCUCGAUCUCUAAAAUCCUGAAAGAUAAAUAGGUCCUAGUGACUUUUGUCUCUAGGACUGAGGUACUUCUGCCGAAUGUUCUAUCAGUUCGUGGAAUAAUGAGGGAAUCAUGUUGCUCACACUGUAUAAUGGGCAGUGUGCGGUUGUGAGUCAACACCUCAAAAUGCUGCUGCUGUGCUAGGACAGGAAAUGCAAGUGUGCCCAGCCUUCUUGCUCCCUUGCAAUUCAGUUCAAGGUGAAAUGAUGUUUUUACUCACCGCGUGUUUGCUCUUGAUGGGAGGGGAUUUUAGGCAAGGUUUUACCACUGUCUUUGGGUCAAGCACUCUAAGCAUACUAACAGUGUUUAGUCCUCAGCUGGUUCCACCUGUUACACUGGAGCCCCUUGUACCAUUGUCAAGACCUCUGUGAAACUGUUGCCAAAGGAGGGAGCGAGAGGCUGGGCUUCCUCAGGCUCACAGUCCCUCAAGUCCAAACUUGGCCAUCUGGUCCCUCUCUGGGCUCAGAAUGGCCAGAGGGGAGGUGUAGACAGUAUCCCAGGGUCACCUUCUAUCAUCUCUAUCUUUGAGGCUUGCCAGCAUCCUAUAAGCCACUCCUUGAGGGACUCAGCUUCUGUAUUUGGGGAUCAGUGAGGCUGAGAUGAGGAGAUGGCAUGGGAUGGAGCAAAGCCUCCAGGUUUCAGCUCCCCAGAAGUUCACCAAAGAGAAUGUACUGAAGGGCUACUGCAUUACUCUGUUCUCAUGAUGCUAAUAAAGACAUCCAAGACUGGGUAAUUUAUAAAGGAAAGAAGUUUAAUGGACUCCCAGUUCCACAUGGCUGGGGAGGCUCACAAUCAUGGCGGAAGGCAAUGGAGGAACAAAGGCAUGUCUUACAUGGUGGCAGGCAAGAGAGCUUGUGCAGUGGAAUUUGCAUAUAUAAAACCAUCGGAUUUUGUGAGACUUAUUUACUACCUCAAGAAUAGUGUGGGGGAAACUGCCCCCAUGAUUCAGUUCUCUCCACCUGACCCCACCCUUACAGUUCAAGGUGAGAUUUUGGUGGGGAUGUAGCCAAACCCUAUCAGCUAUUUUCUGGGCUGUGAUAAUAGCAGCACCCAGAAGGUGGAUGUCACCUUUGGAGGAUCUAUGGUUAUUCCCAGGAGGCAGGACAGUUAGUAUUGAAGUCCCACAGCAGCACUUUUAGGGUUCCAAGAAGAUAAAGACGAGGGUCAAGUAAUAAUUGGCAUGGGCCGCGUGGAAGAGGAGAUUGUCAGUGGAUUCUACCCACCAAGCAGGCUGUUGUCCAGAAGAUUUUAGUUUCUGGUUUCAUUCUUGGCGAAGUAACCAAGACAUCCAAAGGCAUGGCCUCAUAGUGUCCAGAGCUGCAUGGGUUCUUCCCAGAAUCCUUGAGCUUUUUGUCACCCAUGCCCCUGCCUCGCAGAGAACAGGAUGGUUACUUCCUCACAAGGUCCUCAUAGCAAUGUAAAAACAUGUUUAUUCAGUGAAUGGAUGAGGAAGAGAAAAGAACUGAGCAAACCAGCCCUUAUUUCUAGAGGCUGGCAGUGGAGCAGCAGAGGCGUCACCUGCCUUGUGUACUGUCUGGCCAGCCAUUAGGAAAUGUCUGCUUAUCGGCCUGUCUGUGAUCUAUCUGUUAUUUAUUUAAUAAAUUGUGGUAAAAUGCACAUGAAAUAAAAUGUAUCUUCCAGCCAUUUUAAUUUUUCAUUUUAUUUUACCUUUUUUUUUUUUGAGACGGAGUCUCACACUGUCGCCCGGGCUGGAGUACAGUGUCGCGAUCUCAGCUCACUGCAACCUCCGUUUCCUAGGUUCAAGCAAUUCUCCUGCCUCAGCCUCCCAAGUAGCUGGGAUUACAGGUGCACACCACCACACACGGCUAAUUUUUUGCGUUUUUAGUAGAGACAUGGUUUCACUAUGUUGGCCAGAUGGUCUCGAACUCAUGACCUCAUGAUCCGCCCACCUCAGCCUCCCAAAGUGCACUUGGUUCAGUGGCAUUAAAUAGAUUCAGUUGUUGGGCAGCCAGCACUGUCAUCAUCUCCAGUUGUUUUCAUCUUGCAAAACGGAAACCCUGUACCUAUUAAACAACCACUCCCCCCAUUCCCCUGCACCUAGCUCCUGGCAACCACCAUUCUAUUUUCUAUGAAUUUAAUGACUCUAGAUACCUUAUAUAAGUGGAAUUAUACAGGGUUUGUCUUUUUUGUGACUGGCUUAUUGCAUUUAGCAUAAUGCCCUCAAGGUUCAUGUUACAGUAUAUGUUAGCGUCUCCUUCCUUUUAAAGGCUGAAAACUAUUCUCUUGUUUUGUCUAUCCAUGCAUCCGUUGAGGGAUGGUUGUGUUGCUUCCACCUCUUGGCUAUUGUGAAUAAUGUUUCUUUUUUCUUCUUCUUGUUUUGUUCUUUUAGAGACAUGUUCUCUCUGUCACCCAGGCCAGAGUGCAGUAGCAUGAUCUAUAGCUCACUGUAACCUUGAACUCCUGCGCUCAAGCCAUCCUCCUGCCUCACGUUCCCAAGUAGUUGGGACUACAAGUGUGUGCCACCAUACCUGGUGACUUAAAAAAAUUUUUUUGUAGAGUCAGGGUCUUGCUAUGUAGCCCUAGCUGGUCUUGAACUCCUAGCUUCAAGCAAUUCUUCUGCCUUGGUUUCCCAGUAUGCUGAGAUUACAGGUGUGAGCGCACCUAGCUGUGAAUAACGUUUCCAUGAGCAUGGGUGUAGAAGUAUCUCUUCAAGUCCCUGCUUUCAGUUCUUUUGGGUAUAUAUCGAGAAUUGGAGCCGUUAGAUUUUAGGAUAUUCCUAUGUUUAAUUUUGUUAGGAACUGCCAUACUGGUUUUCAGAGUGACUGCACCGUUUUAAGGGGAUGUCUCUUGUGCUGCCUCAUGGCAUUAGUCUAGGUAAUGUCUUAUAUAGUUACUUAGGUUUUCUUUUUACUUGCCUUUCCCAUGCUGUUCUCCCUCCUAUGACUCCACUCAUGUUUGAACUGUAUUGCUUAAUAUCUGGCCCUAUGGACAGGUUUGGGAUAACGAAGGCCAGGAAUAGACUCAUUCACACAAGCACAGCGAGCCCAAAUUCUGGAGCUGUUUCUCCUCUCCUCCAGCCCCUUUAGAAAUGUUGAGUUUGGGCCGGACGCAGUGGCUCAUGUCUGUAAUCUCAGCACUUUGGGCGGCCAAGGCGGGUGGAUGACCCUGAGGUCAGGAGUUCGAAACCAGCCUGACCAACAUGGUGAAACCCCAUCUCUACUAAAAAAUACAAAAAUUAGCUGGGUAUGGUGGCAGUUACCUGUAGUCCCAGCUACCUGGGAGGCUGAGGCAAGAGAAUCACUUGAAUCUAGGAGGUGGAGGUUACAGUGAGCUGAAAUCGUGCCAUUGCACUCCCGCCUAGGCAACAGAGGGAGAUUCCAUUGAGAAAGGUUGAGUGUAUCCCUGGGGGCCCCUCGGCAGAGGUCCUCUGGGGAAGUCCCAAGCUGCUGCUCCAGGGAUGAAGCUAGAACCAAACUGGCCCUACUAGACUGGGAGCUCUUGGCCCAGCUGCUCUGCCUCCCUCAACUCCACCAUUCUAAUUGUGAUUAGUAGACUCAUUUGCAUCUAAAAGGAGUAGUUUUCUUAUCAACACCAUUGAGUGGAGAACCAGUGUGCUCCAUUUAUAUAGAGUGGCCCAUUUAAAUCAGGACCCAUUAAGCAGUAAAAGUAAAUGUGGGUGUUUUACAAAUGCAAAUAUAUCAUGCAAAUAAUGUACUUUAUAGUGAAUGAUGCCUUGGUUUUCAUAUGUAAAAUUAGAAACUGUGUAGCACAAAGAUAAUGAUAUACACCUUUGCAUCUGUUCAUGGGAUGUAUCAUAAGCUGUACACAUCUAAAGUUGUAGCCGCGGUUUUAAGCAGAAUUUUUUCAAUAUAUACGCAAACAUGCAUCCCGUAUUAUUAAAAAAAAACAUGUAUUUAUCUAGUUGUUUGUUCCUAAGGAAUCAAGACAUCGCAGAAAAGAGGAAUCCAACUUAUGUAUCUAUUACUAUGAAUGAUGAGAUUUAUAAUUUUCUUUCCAUUUUUAAAGAUUUUUGAGUUUUCAUUUGAGAUGAUGAUAGAAGAUGUGUUUGUUCCUAUAGGCUAGUUUCUUUGUGAGAGAUUUAAUUAUGUUUAUAAGAGAUUUUUAAAAAGUCCUGGCUGGGCAUGGUGGCUUACUCCUGUAAUCCCAGUAUUUUGGGACGCUGAGGCAGGAGGAGUUCUUGAGCCUAGGAGUUCAAGACCAGCCUGGGCAACAUAGCAAGACCCCGUGUCUACAAAAAAAUGCAAAAAUUAGCCAGGCAUGGUGGCAUGCACCUGUAGUCCCAGCUACUCAGGAGGCUGAGGUAGGAGGAUUGCUAGAGCCUGGGAGGUUGAGGCUGCAUUGAGCUGUGAUUGUGUCACUGCACUCCAGCCUGGGUGACAGAUUGAGACCUUGUCUCAAAAAAAGAGAAAAAAAAUUCCUUAGUGUUUGAGAUAUUUCUGUGUGGGAGGUGCAGGUAGCAUUCCCGCUGUUUUUCAGAAUCACUUAGUAGGAUAAUGACAACCAUCUUCCGUGUGCUGUGAACCUGGCUAAGUUCUAAGAGAGGAGUCACCGUUAGCCUCUGCCCACAUGACAUCUGCCACAGUAAGGUGAAACACACACCCCUGUGGGCAGCGAGUUAAAGGUAUAAGGCGUUAUGGGAAGACACUGCAGAGUGCAGUUAAUUCCCAGAUGAGCUACACAGAAGGUAUCUGCCAGAAGGAUUCAGAGGAGGGAGAGGUCUCAGGGUGAGAGUGACCAGGUAAGGUGUCCUGGGUGCCUGGGAUUCAAGUUGAACUUUAAAGGAUGGGUAGGCUGUAACAGGUGAAGAGAAAAAUAGGUGUAGGGUGUUUUUGGCAGCGGAGGGAGAGAUUGGGCUUGGAUGGGCCCGGGAAGCCGCCAGGGUGCUAGUGUUCUGGAGACCUGUGCCAGGCGGGGAUAUCAAGAGCAGAGGGACAAGCUCGGAAGGAACAGGAGGGCUUCUGAGAGGCACCAGAACUGACUGCCUCUCACCCUGCCCUGUAAGCAUUUGUUACAGGAAAGCGGUCCUGAUCCAGACACCAAGAGAGGGUUCUUGGAUCUCACACAAGAAAGAAUUCAGGGUGAUUUCACAGUAAAGUGAAAGCAACUUGAGUUAGAAAGUAAAGAAACCAAAAGGCUACUCCAUAUAUAGAGCAGUCCUGAGGGCUGCUGGUUGCCCAUUUUUAUGGUUGUUUCUUGAUUAUAUGCUAAGUAAGAGGUGGAUUAUUCAUGCCUCACCUUUCUAGACCAUAUAGGGUAACUUCCUAAUGUUGCCAUGGCAUUUGUAAACAGUCAGUGGCGUUGGUGGAGUGUAGCAGUGAGGACGACCAGAGGUCACUCGUGGCCAUCUUGGCUUCGGUGGGUUUUGUCGGCUUCUUUACUGCAGCCUGUUUUAUCAGCAAGGUCUUUGUGACCUGCAUCUUAGGCCGACCUUCCAUCUCAUCCUGUGACUUAGAACGCCUUAACCAUCUGAGAAUGCAGCCCAGUAGUUCUCAGCCUCAUUUUACCCAGCUCUUAUUCAAGAUGGAGUUACUCUGCUUCAGACGCCUCUGACACAUUCACACUUCUGUAGCCACCAAACUCAUCGGAUGAAGACGUAUGUGGAGACUUGGUGUAUGAGACACAUGAAAAAUGAGGUGCGUUGUUGACAUUGGGCAGCUCCGGUAAUACCAGUCCCCCACCCCAGAUAGCACCCUGGGCACCUCUCUAAGUUGGCAAACCCAGGGGACGGCGCCUGAAGAUGCUGUGCUUUGAGAAGGCUGUUGAGGGGUCAGGCAGGGCUGCCUGCUGUGGGCAGAGAGGCCUAUUAGCAUGCAGGAGGGGACAUCUUAACUUGAGCUGACCCCGGGCAGCCCAGGAGUAGAAACAGGAAGGGAAAGUGCAGGAGCCCUCAGGAAGAAUGCAUGGGCCUGGAUAGACUGGAUAGACGUGGAUUGGAGGCAGGGGCUGGCUGAGGAAGGUGUCAGAGUCUCCAGAUUUUUUUAUUUUCUUUUUUGAGACAGAAGCUCACUCUGUUGCCCAGGCUGGAGUGCAAUGGCGUAUCUCAGCUCACUGCAACCUCUGCCUCCUGGGUUCAAGCGAUUCUCCUGUCUCAGCCUCCCAAGUAGCUGGGACUACCAUGCCCAGGCACGUGCUACCACACACCCAGCUAAUUUUUUUUAUUUUAGUAGAGACGGUUUCACCAUGUUGGCCAGGAUGGUCUCAAUCUUCUGAUCUUGUGAUCCACCCACCUUGGCCUCCCAAAGUGCUGGGAUUACAGGUGUGAGCCACCGCACCCGUUUCUAGAUGUUUGCCAAGGGUGAGUCCAUUGUUUUCUUUAUUUUAUUAUUAUUAUUUUUUGAGAUGGAGUCUUGCUCAGUCACCAGGCUGGAGUGCAGUGGCACGAUCUUGGCUCACUGCGACCUCCACCUCCCGGUUUGAAGCAAUUCUCCUGCCUCAGCCUCCCAAGUAGCUGGGACUACAGGCAUGUGCCACCAUGCCCAGCUUUUUUUUUUUUUUCCCUAGUAUUUUUAGAAGAGACGGGGUUUCACCAUGUUGGUCAGGAUGGUCUCCCUCUCCUGACCUCGUGAUCUGCCUACCUCGGCCCUGCAAAGUGCUGGGAUUACAGGCGUGAGCCACUGCACCCGGCCCUGUUUUGUUCUUUGAGGAAUGCUGAAUUAAAGGAUAAACUUUACUUCCCUUGACGGACAUGUGUGCCAGCCGGGUUCCAGGCACUGCCAUAGGUAUUAGGGAUUCAGGAAAAGAUAGUGCACAGGUGUUUCGAUAUAGCCCAGAGACUGUGCACAUGAAAGGGAGUCAGCCUCUGUCUGGAGAGAAUUGUGCCCCUUCCAUUCAUAUGUUGAUGCCCUAACUCCCAGUUCCUCAGAAUGUGCCCUUACUUCCAGUGUGCCUGUAUUUCCAAUAAGGUCCUUGCAGAUGUCAUUAGUUAAGAUGAGGUCACACUGGAGUGGGGUGGACCCCUGAUUCAACAUGACCAUGUGCUUGGAAAAGGGGGAAUUUGAAGACAGAUGCACACACGGAGAAUGCCGUGUAGAGGUGAAGGCAGGGUGUUGCUUCUACAAGCGGGAGAACGCCAGCAAACACCAGCAGCCACCAGGGAGGCCAGGAGCAGGUUCUCCCCGACAGGCCUCUGAAGGAUCCAGCCCUGCUCAUCCCUUGGUCUUGGACUUCUGCCCUCCAGGACUGUGAGAGGAGGAAUUUCUGUUGCUUACAUCCCCCAGUCUGUGGUACUUUGUUAUAGCAGCCCCAGCAAACGAAUACAGACACUGAUGAAUCCUGGGCAACAUGUUGAGCGUGCCCUGGGAGGCAGAGGGGAAGCUGCUUUCGGUUUGCGCAGCUGUGGGGGCUAGGAGCAGCCGAAAGCUGCUCUGUGUAGAGCCCUCUGGAGAUACCCUCCAGCAUCUGGAAACAAAAUCAGCUGGUGGGGAAGAGGAAAACCCAGCCUCUCCAGGAACUCUCCUAGGAAAAGAGCAUGAGGAGAAAAGAGGGGAGGGCUAGAACCCCAGGAACACCCUGAUGGUGGGGCCGAGCCUGGACAAAGAGCUAGCAGACCAUCUGGAAAGAACAGUGGGAGGGGCAGAACCUGGGCCAGGAGGGUGUUUUGUGGCUCAAGGUGGAAAGGAGUUUUAAGAACUAUUGUCUAAAGCAAUAGGAAGUUUAUGUAACCCAGAAAGAGGCCUCUUAUGUGAGUGCCUGUGGGAGGUCAUAUGGUGGGGACGGGAGAGAGGCUGAGUGAAAUCAAGGACAGUGACCCCUUGUCUUAGUCUGUGUGUGCUGCUGUCACAAAGUGGGUAAUUUAUAAAUAAUAAGAAUGUAUCUCUCUCAAUGGUGGAGGCUGGAAGGUCCAAGAUCAAGGCUGCGGCAGGUUCAUUGUCUGGUGAGGGCUGCUUGCAAGAUGUCCUCACGUGGCAGAAGGCAGAAAAGGGGGCGACUCCCCGUUUAAGCCCCUUUAUGUGGGCAUCUAAUUCCAUUCAUGAGGAAGGGGACCUCGUGGUCUAAUCACCUUUUAAAGGCCGUACCUCUUCAUUACUAUCACCAUAGCAACACCUGAAUUUUGGAGGGACACAUGCAAACCAUAGCUUCUGGGGAAUUGGGUGACCCCGUGACCCCGGCAGGAAGAGGAUCGUGGUGGUGACAUGAGGGAGUGGAGUCUGGGCUGUCCGUCCCAUUCUUUUGGGCUUAGCAAGUGCAGGGCAGAAUAAUGGGAGCCAAAAGGAGGACUUGGACCCCAAUGAUGAUGAAGAUAAGAAAUCAGCCAGAUGUGGUGGCUCAUGCCUGUAAUCCGAGCACUUCAGGAGGCCAAGGCAGACGUAUCACAAGGUCAGGAGUUUGCGACCAGCCUGACCUACAUGGUGAAACCCCAUCUCUACUAAAAAUAAAACAAUUAACUGGGCAUGGUGGCACACACCUGUAAUCCCAGCUACUCAGGGGGCUGAGACAAGAGAACCUCUUGAACCUGGAAGGCAGGAGUUGCAGUGAGCCGAGAUUACGCCAUUGCACUCCAGCCUGGGUAACGAGUGAAAUUUCAUCUCAAAAAGAAAAGAAAGAAAUCAUCAGUCCUGGGAAGGGGGAAGUGAGUAGCGACAAGGUGUAGAAGAUUCCAGAGGGAAAGAAGGGUAAUAGAGAUGUUCCUUUGACGAGUAAGAAGAUGAACACGCAGGCAGAAAUAAUGGAGCCAGUGAACUGAGGCAGAAGGAAGGGCAUGUCCUUGCUUUAGGAAAGAGGAGGUGACGGUCCUGCUGAAAUGUGGGGAGGGAGGUUUGGGACUUGAUGAGUGGAGAGAUUGGGGGCAGCUUACCUGGGUUCUCAUUUGGGAGCAGUUUUAUCCCCCAGUAGAGGCACAGCAGUAACUGGAGACAUUUUCGGUUGUCACAGCUGAUGAGGUGGGUGCCACUGGUAUCUAGUGGCAGGCCAGGCAGACUGCUGAGCAUCUUACCAUGCACAGCAUCCCAGGACAAGCACUAUCUCGUCCAGAGUGUCAGUAAUGCUGAGGUUAAGAAAUCCUGGCAGAGCAGUGGCUCAGGCCUGUAAUCCCAGCACUGUGGGAGGCCAAGGCAGAUGGAUCACCUGAGGUUCAGAGUUUGAGACCAGCCUGACCAACAUGGAGAUACCCAUGUCUACUUAAAAAUACAAAAUUAGCUGAGUGUGGCAGCACAUGCCUGUGAUCCUGGUUACUUGGGAGGCUGAGGCAAGAGAAUGGCUUGAACCCGGGAGGUGGAGGUUUUUGUGAGCUGAGAUUGUGCCAUUGGACUCCAGCCUGGACAACAAGAGUGAAACUCCAUCUCAAAAAUAAAAAAGCAAUCCUGCCGUAGGUCAAUAGCAGUUCUCCAACACGUUCAAGGAAUGAAGCCGCAGCUUCAUGGCAUGCUUUGGGGAAUGUGAAGAAACUUCAGUAUAUUUAAAACAACACAGUAAGGAUUGCAGGAAGAGCUGGUGUGAGUGGCCAGCCACGGAUUUGCAUUGCUGAGGACAGGACCCCUUGGCAGCAAAGCAGAAUGGCAGACGUGCAGGGACUGCUGGAAAUACUGGAGAGGACUGUCAGCUGCCUGGAGUUGCUGUCUGCAGAGUCCCACAGGCCCCCUGGUGACUGUGGGGUCAGAGGUGUCAGUGGAGGUGUGGAAGCCUUUGAUAAGCUGAUGAACAGCAUGAUGGCCAAGUUUUUGAAGAACAAUAGGAGCCUUGCUGGUGACUUGGAGGCUCGUGCAGAAAGGGUGCCGGGGGCUUUCCUUCUGAUGGCAUCUCAUUACCAACAACCCCAAGAGAAUACGUGACCACAUUUUUGAAACCCAUAUCGGGAAAAAUUCAAAAAGCCCAAACUUUCAGAGAGAAAACCGAGGAAGUAACAUGUUUAGUCAUCUCUCAGCUGUCAGCAAGUCUCCCUGCCCUUGACUGUGUAGCCGCGUCCCCCAAAUCUGGUCCUUACGUCAAAGAGACACGUGAUGCUGCCACCUUUUACACUAACAGCGUCUUCAAGGGCUACAAACACGGGGUUUACGCCGUGUAGAUUGGGUGAGGUCAUAUGUGAAUAUUUGGAGUGAGUUUCAAGCACACAUCAAGGAGCACCACACCGUGGGCCUCACGUGGAGCAGAACGGGUCCUGCAGCGCCCACAUCACUGCUUUCUGUUGUCUCCUGUGGCCUGGCCUUUCUCCACAUCCCCCCCCCCCAGGGCCCCUCCACUUUUUGAGAAUGAAGACACAAAUGAAGAGUCAUCUCCUUCAUGCUCAGCUUUAUUUGCUAGGCUUAACCAGGGAGAAGUGAUUACGAAAGGGCUCUGGCACGUCACAGAUGACCAGAAGGUCUUUACAAGAAUCCCAGCCUGCAGGAUCACACAGGGCAAACUGCAUCUCCCCCAGAAGCCAUAUCCAAGUCCCGAAUCUCCCAAACCUCAUCCUUUCCAGAAACAUGCACUCAUGUUCAUGUUGGAAGGAAGUAAAUGAAGAGGAGGGUGCCAAGAGGACUGGAAUGACUGUGAUUUCAGAGACUGAGCUGAAACAAGUGGCUUACAUUUUCUAUUUUCCUCCCUUCCUUCCUUCCUUCCUUCCUUCCUUCCUUCCUUCCUUCCUUCCUUCCUUCCUUCCUUCCUUCCUCCCCUACCCCUCCCCCUUUCUCCCUCCUGCCUCUCCUCCCCUCCCUGUCCCUUCCAGUCCCAUCUGUCUCACUCUGUCACCAGGCUGGAGUGCAGUGGCACGAUCCCAGCUCACUGCAACCUCCGCCUCCUGGGUUGGGUUCCAGUGAUUCUCCUGCCUCAGCCUCCCAAGUGGCUGGGAUUACAGGUGUGUGCCACCACGCCCAGCUAAUUUUGUAUUUUUAGUAGAGAUGGGUUUUCCCCAUGUUGGUCAGUCUGGUCUCGGACUCCCGACCACAGGUGAUCUGCCUGCCUCAGCCUCCAAAAGUGCUGGGAUUACAGGCAUGAGCCACCGUGCCUGGCCUAAUGUUGUAUUAUAGUCUGUUUUUUCCUUUUCUGCCCGCCAUACUUGCUAACCAGUUGCAAAAAUAAAUGUGAGAAAAGCCAUAGAUGUAUUACUUCUCCUAAAAUCUAAGGAACUAUUUGUUACUUUGGUUUUCUGCUCUGAUUUUGUAGUCUUGAUAGUACAUGGUUUUUCUUUUUGGAGACAGCGUCUCUCUCUGUGCCCAGGCUGGAGAACAGUGGCAUGAUCUCAGCUUACUGCAACCUCUGUCUCCCAGGUUCAAGCGAUUCUUGUGCCUUGGCCUCCCAGUACUUGGGAUUAUAGGGCCAUGUCACCAUGCCCAACUAAUUUUUGUGUUUUUAGUCCAGACAGGGUUUCGCCAUGUCCACCCGCCAACUGGGAUUACAGGCGUGAGCCACCAUGCCUGGCCCCAUGUGUUUUCAAUGUUAAGAGACUAUGAUAGUCCUUUGUAUCUUUUCAGUACGUAGUGUUGAAAAAUCUGCAACUUCUUGGAUCACAUUUAAUGAAUUAUAGCAUAGUUCUUACAGACUCAGUGCAAGCAUGUAUAUAUAUAUCUCCAAAGCCUGUAACAGGUGUAUUGUACCUAUUACAGCCUUUGAAGUAUGUCAUUUCCAUUUUUAAAGUAUCUUCCAUAUCUGUAUAGUAUUUGGGUUAUUAAUGCUCACAUACCAGGGUUUUGCUAUAAAAGUUGUGUUCAUAUAAUGUUGAUAGUAAACAUCAUUUUCAACUGUAAACUUAUUCUGAAAUAAAAUAGAAUUCUAAUUGUUUAAAAGGAAAAUAAAAUAGCACAGUGUAUCUGGUUCCGGAGCAGCUGCCACCUGCCAGAUUCUCACGGGUCCUGGUGGUAAUGGCACACAGGAACUACGUGCAGGCUUAAAUCUUUGAAAUCAGUUUAGUCUCCAGUUUCAACAUUUGGCCAAGUUCACAGAGCAAUUCCAUUUCUUUCCAUGAUUGGUGUAUUGCUCUCGCUCAGAGUAAUCUUGCCACACUCUCAGUUCUAGUGUUUGUGGGCCUAGCUUGUGUUUGUGUGAUCACUUCAGUCACGCCCUCUCAAUAAUUGUCAGCCUCUGAAUUGGCCACUGCUGGUAGAUUUCUGCAUGGUCUCUUUCUGUCUCCUGAUUUCGUGCCCAUUUGGAUCUUUGCAGGAUUCUGCAUGGAGCUACCUUUUUUUUUGUUUUUUUUUGAGACAGGGUCUUGCUCUGUUUCCCAGGCUAGAGUGCAGUGGUGCAGUCAAGGCUCUCGGGAGCUUUGGAACUCCUGGGCUCAAGCAAUCCUCCCACCUCAGCCUCCUGAGUACCCGAGACCACAGGCACAUGCCACCAUACUGGGCUAAUUUUGUGUACUUUUUUUUGUAGAAUAAAAAAAGUUUUAUUUUUAAUGUCUCCCAGUCUGGUCUCAAACUCCUGAGGUCAAGUGAUCCUCCUGCCUGGACCUCCCUCAGUGCCGAGAUUACAGGUGUGAGCCACCAGAGUUACUUUUUUUUUUGAGCAUUCUUUAGAGUAAGUGACAUCACUGAAGCUGCCUCUCGGCUAUUUAGUAACUGUGGCUACUUUGGACUGAGAAACAUUUGCAAUUAGAACAUCUCAAAGAAUCCUUAAAGGAAAGAGGAAGAGAAAAGUGCAGUUACCUUAUCCGUCUCAGGAAUGGAGAAGAGAACCCAGUUGGGAAGUGCUGGUGCCCCCCUGACAACUGCCACAGUGUUGCUGUAUGGCUUUGAGCGUGUCAGUCAACUCUGAACUGCAGUUUUCUUACAAUCAAGACUACCACUGGGCUGGGCACGGUGGAUCACUUGAGGUCAGGAGUUUGAGACCAGCCUGGCCAACAUGGCGAAACCCUGUUUCUCCUAAAAACAAAGAAAUUAUCCUGGCAUGGUGGCGCGUGCCUGUAAUCCCAGCUACUGUGGAGGCUAAGGCAGGAGAAUUGCGUGAGCCCAGAUCACACCGCUGUACUCUAGCCUGAUCGAUAGAGAAAGACUCUAUCUAAAAGAGGGAAAAAAAACCACCUCUGGGAUUUUUGCAGGUUAGAAAGCAUUUUUUCCUGCCCAUUCAUCUCAUUUUAUUCUCACACACUAGAUAUUAUCAUUUGCCCCCGGCUUGCAGGCCUGGAAUUGAGACUUUAACAAGUUAAAAGACUUUCUGUCUGUGUUUAAACAGAUUUCCUGAGUCCAAAUCCCAUGCUCUCUCCACUCCAUCCUGGAUUAGACUCUGUGGCCACAGAGAUCCCUUUAAAUUGCCAGGACACUCAAGCUUAUUAUUUGGAAGGUUAGAAAAGUGUCCCUGAGAAUCUGAACUUUCAUCUGUGCUCCUCGUGAUGCUUCUCAGUGAGUGGUAUUUUGUGAAGCUUCCCACAUGUGUCUCUGUCCAGCCUGCUCUGGUUGCUGCAUUGCAAAUGCCAACGACUGACAUCCUUCACCCAAAGAGCACCUGUGACCGUGUGGCAUAGGUCACAUUUGCUUUUCUAUUAUUUCCUGGUGAUUAAUCCCCAUUUAUAAGGCAAAACAAUUGAAUUUCAGGGACAUUUCUCCCUUUGUUACAACUGCUUGGACUGUUACAUUCCUGGGGAAACAUAGUCUGGUGGUAGAUGUCACCCAUCCAAAGGGAUUGUCAUCACAUUCCAUCCCCAGCACUAAGAUUAUGAAGGGACUCUGCUCAGUUGCUUAAGAGUAGUGGGUAAGCUCUGGCCUUCAUGAGUGCUAAAUCAGGAUGGGCUGGUCUUGCCAAACCCAUUUUCUCCCCCUACCGCCUCCCCUUCGAUUUGGGCUUUCUGCUUUUCUGUGUGCUGUGGACUGUUGUGGCAGAGAGCUCACCGUGGGGGACAUUCAGAUAUUGUUCCUUUCUUCUCACCGAAAACACUAGGCUUUCAUUCACUUCUUCAGAGUUCUUCUUAUGAUCUUUAUCUCUGCUUUCUUCCUCCUCCUAUCUCCCUCCUUCCUUCCCUACCUUCUCUUUUUAAUACAUUAACAAAAUUUUUUUAGGUUGAAGUGGGCAGAUCAUUUGAGCCCAGCCUGGGCAACAUAGUGAGACCCUGUCCUCCAGAAAGAAACAGAAAAACAAACUUGGCUGGGCAUGGUGGUACGCAUCUGUAGCCCCAGCCACUCCAGGGACGGAGGCAAGAGGAUUGCUUGAGUCCAGGAGGUGGAGAGAGACUGCAGUGAACCAAGAGUGGCACUCCAGCCAGUGUGACAGAGCAAGACCCCGUUGCAAAUAAAAAAAAAUUGUGGUAAAAUACAUCUACCAUAUCAUUUACCGUAUUAACUGUUUUUUAAGUAUGCAGUUCUGUAGUUAAGUGCAUUCACAUUGUUGUACGACCAACCUCCAGGACUCUUCAUGUCUUGUGAAACUGAACCUCUGUACCCAUUGAAUUCCCUACUCCUCCUUCCCACUAGCCUCUGGCAACCACUGUUCCAUUUUCUGUCUCUGUGAGUUUGACUACUACCUCUUCUAUGCGGAAUCAGACGGUAUUUGUUUUCUUUAUUCCGGCUUAUUUCACUUAGCAUGCUUUCAAGGUUCAUCCGUGUUAUAGCAUCCUUUUCUUUCUUUUUUUGAGACGGAGCUCACUCUAUCACCCAGGCUAGAGUGCAGUGACACAAUCUUGGCUCAUGCAACCUGCACCUCCUGGGUUCAAAUGAUUCUCCUGCUUCAGCCUCCUGAGUAGCUGGGAUUACAGGUCUGUGUCACCAUACCUGGCAAAUUUUUGUAUUUUUAGUAGAGACUGGGUUUCACUGUAUUGGUCAGGCUGGUCUUGCACUUCUGAUCUCGUGAUCCGCCCACUCUGGCCUCCCAAAGUACUGGGAUUACAGGCGUUAGCCACUGUGCCCGUCCGUUUUCUCUCUUUUAGAGAUCCUAGUUCACAUUUGGCAGGUGAGAUCUUAGAAAAAAGUCCUUUUAAUUUAUUUCUCAUGGAGACCCACAGAAAGUUUAGCUGGUGAAUACAGGUGUGGGUCUUGGUUUAUAAUGCAGCUGUUUCUCACAAUGGUUAAGGCUCCUGAGUGCAGAAAAAACACAUGAUGGAUCACGUCAUCUUCCUGAGAGUCACCCUCAGGCUGUCGGACCUUGUUGACUCAAGGGAUCCCCUUGGGAGCUGGAGGUAGUGCGGCCCAGAGUGUGGUGUCCGGGGAAUGACUGAGGGCUGGAUCUCUGGCAGCCACCGGGUGUGCUGUUCAGGACGGUAUCGCUCACCUCUUAGGAAUUGCAAGCCCAGCAGAGGAACAAUCAGCUGAAUCGAUGUUCUCAAAUGCCAGGUCGCGCUGUGUCUUGCUGGCCAGCAAGGUCCCCUUAACCUGUCGGACUGCUUUCUUUGUUACAAAGUUGGUGUGGCUUAUACUGCUGAAGGUCAUGGGAUUUUUGUUAGCAUAUUAUUGAAAUGAGACAUUUGUGGCACCGGCGUUCUCUUGUUUCUGCUCAUAUGAGCCCGCGUGUCUUUCACAUCUGGUUAGUCUGAUUGCUUUUUCUAGCCUGGGACUUUGCCUUGGAGAGAGUCUAGCAAAAUACCAUUCACAGCCUUCUUCCAUGCGGAAGGAUGACUAAGAGUUUAGUGCUGGAAGAGCAGAAGAGGAAAGCUGGAAGGUUAGAAACUAAAUCGGAGCUGUCGAUGUGUAUGUCUCUAUGGUACAGUGGGCAAGCCCUGGUCUUGUCUUGGGUUGAUCACUAACUAGUCAUGCAGUGUCUUGGGCCAGUCCUUUUGCCUCUCAGGACCUCUGACUGUCUCCCUAUAGAACGGGGAAGGUGGUCAGGCGCAGUACCUCAUAUUAUCAGGGCUUUGGGAGGCUGAGGCGAGAGGCUCACUGGGAGGCUAGGAUUUUGAGACCAGCCUCAGCAACAGAGCAAGACCCCGUCUCAAUUUUAAAAAAUAAUAAAGAGAAUGGGUGGAUCAGGCAUGGUGGCUCACCCCUAUAAUCCCAGCACUUUGGGAGGCUGAGGCGAGUGGAUCACUUGAGGUCAGGAGUUUGAGACCAGCCUGGCCACUGAAAUCAGUUAGUGAAACCCGAUCUCUACUAAAAAUACAAAAAUUAGCCCAGCUUGCUGUCAGGUGCCCGUAAUCAGCUACCUGGGUGGUUGAGGCAGGAGAAUCACUCGAACCUGGGAGGUAGAGGUUGCAGUGAGCUGAGAUCAUGCCACUGCACUCCAGCCUGGGCUACCAAGCAAGACUCUGUCAAGAAAAAAAAAAAAAAAGAAAGAAAGUGAUUUCUGCCCUGCCCAACCUGCAGAAUUAGAGGAUUCCAUGGAAAAGGGCUGAGGACUUUGCUCGGUGAGUGUGAACUGGAUCCUAGGAUCAAGCAAUGCAAAUGCCAUUUUAAGGUGAUCCUGCAGAAUUAGAGGAUUCCAUGGAAAAGGGCUGAGGACUUUGCUCGGUGAGUGUGAACUGGAUCCUAGGAUCAAGCAAUGCAAAUGCCAUUUUAAGGUGAUCCUGCAGAAUUAGAGGAUUCCAUGGAAAAGGGCUGAGGACUUUGCUCGGUGAGUGUGAACUGGAUCCUAGGAUCAAGCAAUGCAAAUGCCAUUUUAAGGUGAUCCUGCAGAAUUAGAGGAUUCCAUGGAAAAGGGCUGAGGACUUUGCUCGGUGAGUGUGAACUGGAUCCUAGGAUCAAGCAAUGCAAAUGCCAUUUUAAGGUGAUCCUGCAGAAUUAGAGGAUUCCAUGGAAAAGGGUUGAGGACUUUGCUCGGUGAGUGUGAACUGGAUCCUAGGAUCAAGCAAUGCAAAUGCCAUUUUAAGGUGACUGAGACCCACUCGGGGUUAAGAAGGGGUCCUCAAGGUCAUUUCUCAAGGCAGUGACAUUUACAUGGCUGGGUAUGGAGAGCACCCUAUUCUUCCUCUGCACCCCUCACUCCCGCCCUCCCCGCACUUGAGCUGCCUGAGGAUGGGUGGUUUGCAACUCCUCCCACGAAGACUUCUAUCACUGGUUUUGUCUCUGAAUUACUGUGGUGAAUAGACAUUUCUAAAUAAUUCCAUGUACUAUGUGUGGUUUUAACAGACUUUGAGCUUUAAAGGCCAACCAUCCAGGGACAUGAUGGGGGAAAAUCAAACUUGUUGCCUUCCCAACCUGCAGCCACUGGAGACAUACCCAUGAGUUUGGCUAUGGGCAUCGCUGGUCUCAUUAGAUAGAGUCAUAGGAGUUUGGAGCCAGGUAAGUAUGACAGCAGGUUCUUAGAGGUCAUAAAAUAGGGUUUUUAAUUUUCUUUUCAAGUCUUUCUCAACACCAAGCACAAUUCUCAACAGGGGCUUAAUAAAUCCUUGGAUCUUCUAACAGUUGGAAGAUGUGAUUUUGAGGAACCAGCCAAAAGAAUCGUGUAAAUAUGGGGCCAAAGAGCUUGAAAGCUUUGCAGUUAGCAUGGCAGGAACUGACUUACCUCGAGCUGGAAAGAGACCAUGUGCGAAUUCAUCAGUUACAACAGGGGCCAGGAAAGAGAAGGUGAUGGCCAGUCCAAGUCUCUCUGCACUGCUAGAGUACAGAUAAGUUCCGCAGCAACAGGGCUUGACUAUAGAGGACUCUUAAAACAUCACUGAUCAGUGAUUUAAGUACAUUGAAAGGAUGUUGUAAGAUUCUUUAGGUAGAUGUCUGUCAUACAGAGAAUUUUCCAUAUCUAAACCACUGGAUUUAUCUGACCUUCAUUCCCCAUAUUGCUCCAUCCCUGGUGUCUACUCAGUUUUCAGCCAAAUCAAGGUCGGGAUAAAGAAGAGAUUUGGAUGGAAGUAAGGUGGAUAUUCAGGCUCCUGCAGUGAUACUCAGUUAUUGAAUUCUCUAGAAACACCAACUCUGCUAUAAUGAAGUCCUCGGUUUUUAAAUAUCUUUACAAAUCAGGUGAUUCCAUAUUGGCAACAGCCAGCUUGCUGUUUCCUGCUUUGUUAUAAAAAUAAGACGGUAAAAUCCUGAGAGCUUGCUUGGAUUGUUAAAAGAUCUUAAGUAUUUUAAUGCACAUUAUUCUUCAUGCAACUCUGAACCUUAAAUGCCCCAAAAGAGAGUAAGAUCGGAAUCCAAUGGAAGAGCAAUCAGCUGGUGUCAUCAUCCUGAGACUCCAGUCCUGUCUGCUGUUACCCUGGGUAGCUCCUGGCCACUCUGUGGUCACAACUGCCAGGCUCAGAGUCAGAGUUGCAGGCAAUAUCAUAACUGAGAUGCGUGAUUCUCAUUUAAUUUUAGUAUAGUGGAUCCAAAACAAAAUAAAACAAAAAGGUUCGUUAACAUCAAAGUUUGUAGUAUAUAUUUUCUAGCACAUUUGACAUGAUUUUGAUGUGUGAUCGAUCGUAUUUUUGUGCCCUAGUUAAUUUCUUCUUCGUCCCUACUCCUCCUCAUCAACCUGCUGUACUAUUUGUACCUCCAGUAAUGAGAUUCCGGUGGGCAGAAUGUGUCAUGGCAUUUCUGCUUGCUGUCCUAGAUAACCAGAGACCCUGGUUGACUGGUGAAGUAUUUACCAUAUUGUUCUUCAGAUUCCUGUGUGUGUGUGUGUGUGUGUGUGUGUGUGUGUGUGUCUGCUUCUGCCAAACUUACAAACGUAUUAUUCGAACCUAUGUUUCUCAUAUUGAAGGUGAUUGAUAAUGCAUUAACCAAUACAAUUUGCCAUGUACCGUUUUGGUGAUAGUAAUUUAUACUGCCUCUUGGGCUGGAUGUAGUAACAUUUUUGACUAAGGACUUUCUAACAUUAAUCUAAACCAAUCUUUCAUUUAGAAUAUAACCUACUUGCCACUCUAAGGACAUUUUACUAAGACUGGCUUGGUUAUAAGGUUUUCUACCAGAUGUCUUAAAAUAGUGAAAACGCUCAUCUAUAAAUGCAGUAAGUGUCUUCGUCACAUAUUGAUCUUUCCGAUUUUCUUGUCUCUCCUGUUACCACAGUGUAGGUGGUAACAUAUCUGCAAAAUGUUUUAUAGGGUAUGGAGUGCAACAUUUUAAGCCAAGAAAUUGAAAACAGGAUACGAAACAAGAGAAGAGGGGGAAGGAGGAAGUCGACCAAGGUCAUCUCCGUAUAUUAAGGAUUUAGUGGUAGAAAUGCCAAGAAAGGCAAGUUUGUGUUUGUAGCAGGCAGAUGGCACAAGAAAGUGUUGGAAAACCCACUUAGUCUCAGAAAACGUAAUUAGGAGUUCUUUGCCAUAUACGUUCAUGAAAUUAUGAGCAGGUUAGCAAAUAUUCUUAAGUUACAUGCUAUGCCAUUAAACCACGUGAAUUUGCCAUUUUGUAUAUCUGUAGGUGAUUUCAGUGCCCAUCUUGAGCAGGGUCAAUAUGAUAAGCAGAAUACUCACGGAUAGCGUCUGCACUGUGAAAUAUGAAACCUGUUUACAAUAAAGCAAACCUCAUGGUUUUCAAAGAUGCGUUUUCAGAGGGUGUCAGUAACACAUACUUGGGGAAAUGUUUUGAGGGAAGUGUGGGGAGGGGUUGCAGGUGUGUGAGUGCAGAUGAACUUGGCCUUAUGCUAGUUUCUCUUCU
This is an RNA transcript of Callithrix jacchus (white-tufted-ear marmoset), 33902 nucleotides long. It is a transcript of the gene named adenylyl cyclase-associated protein 2 pseudogene, with no coding region annotated. NCBI's taxonomy places the organism in Eukaryota, Metazoa, Chordata, Mammalia, Primates, Cebidae. The record is from RefSeq and is a predicted model, not a curated record.